GGUGGGAUGCAGCACAGAGGUGCCUAGGGAAGGAGCUGCGCAGGCAGGAGGGAGGGCGGGCAGGAGGGCAGGGCAGGAGAGCCCGGGGUGGGGAACCCAGGUGAGGCCAGCUCAGGGCUGAGCCCCAGAGGGCCCUGCACAGGUGAUGCCAACUCAGGGCUGAGCCCCGGAGGACCCUGCACAAAGCAGGCAGCAGCGUUGUGUCCUGGCUUUCCAAGCUUUUCCUUAAAAAAAAUCUAGCG
RNAcentral lists this long non-coding RNA (242 nucleotides) under Homo sapiens (human). RNAcentral describes it as "HSALNT0274748". The record is from RNAcentral. Lineage: Eukaryota; Metazoa; Chordata; Mammalia; Primates; Hominidae.